Non-coding RNA from Macaca mulatta (Rhesus monkey), 1664 nucleotides. Lineage: Eukaryota; Metazoa; Chordata; Mammalia; Primates; Cercopithecidae. The record is from RefSeq and is a predicted model, not a curated record.
GAACCCCAAUUUCACAUUCCAACUGAACGACAAGUUGGCGCACACAUUACCGCAUACAUCCCAAGUUUUGUGCCAGGACCUGCCCCUGAGAAACGUCCAUAAUUCUGCUCCGUGAGCCACAGGGGUGUACCUGAAGUUGCCAACUCCCGAAGCAAACUGAAAAUUCAGGCCCGUGUCGGUCCCAGGAGCGGUUUAAAUUCCACAAUCGUCUCCUCCCUAUACCCGGGACUUGAAAUAGCUGUAUAAGAUGGGGAGCAGUUCAGUGCAUGUCUGGAAAGACAGGAGCUGAUUGCAAUUCUGAAGUUGGACUCAAACUGAAACAGUGACUCCUUUUGGGUCUUGAGCCUGCCAUCCUGGAACUUACACCAUCAGCUCUCCUGGGUCUACUGAUUGUGCAUCUUGGGAUUUUCUAGCCUCCAUAAUUGUUGAGGAGAGCUGACUUGUGUAACCAAUAGGAUACUGCAGAAGUGAUUGAGUGUCCUGACUUCUGAGGCCAGAUCAUAAGAAACAUUGUGGUUUCCAUCUUGUUCUUUUGAAUUACUUGCUCUGGAAGAAGCCGGUCACCAUUUUGUGAGGAAACUCAAGCAGCUCAUGGAAUAGCUCGUGUGGAUAGAAACUCACCACAUGAGUGAGAGAUUCACCACAUGAGUUUUCACCACAUAAAAGUUUGAAAAAUUUGCAGCCUGACAAUGUAGUAGAAAAGAAAACCCCAUUUUCUGGGAAGAAAUUCAAGCUGAUAGCAGCCAUCAUGGAAACCCUGGCCCCAGACAAGGCUUUAAAUGCCUGAAGCCCAGCCCACAUUUUGACUGCAACCUCAGAAGAGAAUCCAAAUCAGAACUACCCAGGAACAUUCGGUAAGAGAAGAACGCCUCAAGAGAGCAUGUGCAAAGCUGCGCAAACACACUGCGCCUGUGGCCCCUCCCAAGGGUUGGCAGAUCACAGCGCAUGUGGACAGCCUACCCCAAAGGAAGAAUCAGGGGAGAAGGGAUGCAACCCCCUGGAAGUACUCCAACCUAUCAACCCCAGGUCAAAGGUCCAGCUGCACGCAUUUUCUCAAGCUGCCUGCUUGGCCCUCUUCCAAGUGUACUUCACUUCCUUUUGUUCCUGCUCUAAAGUGUGUUUAUAAACUUUCACUCCUGCUCUGAAACUUGCCGAGGUCUCUCUCUCUGCCUUAUGCGCCUCCGUCGAAUUCUUUCUUCCGAGGAGGCAAGGACUGAGGUUGCUGCAGACCCGUAUGGAUUCGCCGCCUGUCACAUCACAAUACCACGGUGGUGUAGACCAGACGGUUUCCUCAGAAAGGAGUGAAUACAUGGCUGUCUGUGUACUCGGGAGUGAAACUGGGACACAUUUGUCAUCAUGAAGACUUCCAGUUUUCUCCCUCGUUGCAGUUUGAGGAAAGUGUGCCAUCUGUUUCCUGCCAAGAACCUGCCUGAUAAGCUUUUGGCUAUGCCAGAAAUCUCUUGUCCAGAGCGCCUCUGGUUCAGUGUAUUCAACGAGUAAAUCACCAAGUCUUUGCCACAGAUUAAAUGAGAAAACAAAUGUUCCAAAAAAAGUUGCAGAACAGUAUAUGCAUAAUAUGAUUCACGGAAUUUAAAAUAGUGUGCAUGCACUCCACUUCCACACGCCUCCUGUAUGCUUUGUGAAAUAAAGUUUAUGGGACGUCA